Molecule: non-coding RNA, 48 nt
Filed under: Schistosoma margrebowiei
Lineage: Eukaryota; Metazoa; Platyhelminthes; Trematoda; Strigeidida; Schistosomatidae
Source: RNAcentral
AUCCAGCUGAUGAGUCCUAAAUAGGAUGAAAGGUGCCUUAAACUGGAU